Molecule: unclassified non-coding RNA, 163 nt
Filed under: uncultured Helotiales
Lineage: Eukaryota; Fungi; Ascomycota; Leotiomycetes; Helotiales
Description: sequence contains ITS1
Source: RNAcentral
CAGAGUUCAUGCCCUUCGGGGUAGACCUCCCACCCUGUUUAAUUACUAUUGUUGCUUUGGCAGGCUGCCCUCACCAUGGGGCGUCCGGGCUCGCCCGCGUCUCGCCUGCCAAAAGCCCCCCAAUUCGGGGGGAUAUGUCGUCGGAGGACUAUAUAAGAAGUUA